Molecule: ribosomal RNA, 231 nt
Filed under: uncultured bacterium
Lineage: Bacteria
Description: partial 16S ribosomal RNA
Rfam family: Bacterial small subunit ribosomal RNA
Source: RNAcentral
CGGGGUGGAGUAAUGCUUGGGAAUCUAGCUUAUGGAGGGGGGUAACUACGGGAAACUGUAGCUAAUACCGCGUAGUAUCGGAAGAUGAAAGUGUGGGGACCUUCGGGCCACAUGCCAUAGGAUGAGCCCAAGUGGGAUUAGGUAGUUGGUGAGGUAAAGGCUCACCAAGCCGACGAUCUCUAGCUGGUCUGAGAGGAUGACCAGCCACACUGGGACUGAGACACGGCCCAG